This 426-nucleotide ribosomal RNA is filed under the name uncultured Pseudomonadaceae bacterium. RNAcentral's name for it is "bacterial SSU rRNA". It matches the Rfam family "Bacterial small subunit ribosomal RNA", at positions 356 to 774 of the family's 1533-position model. The record is from RNAcentral. Lineage: Bacteria; Pseudomonadati; Pseudomonadota; Gammaproteobacteria; Pseudomonadales; Pseudomonadaceae.
GGGGAAUAUUGGACACUGGGCGAAAGCUUGAUCCAGCCAUGCCGCGUGUGUGAAGAAGGUCUUCGGAUUGUAAAGCACUUCAAGUUGGGAGGAAGGGUAGUAAGUCAAUACCUUGCUGUUUUGACGUCACUAACAGAAUAAGCACCGGCUAACUUCGUGCCAGCAGCCGCGGUAAUACGAAGGGUGCAAGCGUUAAUCGGAAUUACUGGGCGUAAAGCGCGCGUAGGUGGUUUGGUAAGAUGGAUGUGAAAUCCCCGGGCUCAACCUGGGAACUGCAUCCAUAACUGCCUGACUAGAGUAAGGUAGAGGGUGGUGGAAUUUCCUGUGUAGCGGUGAAAUGCGUAGAUAUAGGAAGGAACACCAGUGGCGAAGGCGACCACCUGGACUGAUACUGACACUGGGGUGCGAAAGCGUGGGGAGCAAACA